ACACAACAACCCAGAACAACAGCAAAAACAACAACAGACAUUAAAACACACACUAUGGCAUCACUAGCCAUCGUUUCGGCAUAACGACACAUCUUUCGUUUCAAACUUACAUUUCCGAACCAAACUUGUUAUUCUGAUAUUCAUCACCCACCAAAUUCAUUACAACAUACAUCGGAAGCAUCCAUACCAUUUUCACCCAAUAUUCAUAAGGUAUGCGAACAUUCAAACUUUCCAUUAAGCCACUACUUUUCCAAUUUUUCCUAACCUUCAACAUACAAGUUCAUUAUACAUUUCCAUCUUCCAAAUUCAUCCACAAUAAUCAUAAUUUUCCUCUUGAUACUUUCAUCUCCAUUUUUACAUAAACCAUAACAAAGUUGUAUGUUUUCCUACAACAACUUAAUAACCAUUAAGUUCCUUCACUCUCCUCACAUAAUCCAUGAUUAAAACAACCAAAAUAUUAAUUCAAAUCAGUCCAUCAAUUUCAAUUAAAACAGCCCCUCACCCAUAAAUUUCAACAAAACAACAAAUGAGUUUAUAAUGUUGUUUUCUCCGUUCUAAUUCGUUAAAACUCUAAAUAAACACUUUAAUAACAUAAAAGGAAUUUUAUAAAUACCUUAUCAGAAGAUCCACCACGAAAAUUUCAUCCCCCAAGACCAAUAUUUAUCUCAAAUUGAAGGCAACGCAACGUACAACGUUUUUCUCUUCAUGAGCUUCGGGAUUCGGAGCUCGGAUUUUGAUCAAAAUGACCUUCUUAGCCUUGAAGUUUUCUCUCUCUCUCUCUCUAAUGGAAUUUUCUGGAUCUUUUCUGAUCUGAAAUGUGGAGGAGGAGGCUGAAAACUCCCUUAAAUAAUAAGGAAAUGGGCCUGACCCGGAUUGGAAUCGGGUUGGGCCCAUUUCACUGCCCAGCUUGACCUUUCCGCCUUACAAUGUCCAUAUCUCCUUGUACCGACGUCGCCAGGGAGCCCACGACCUACCGUUGGAAAGCUAUUCAAUUAUCUACAACCUUUAUCUCUGGGCAUUUUCCCAAAUUCUAAACUUAUAAUGCCGUUUUUGCCCCUCCAAGUCUGGUCAUCCGAAAACGUUUUCUUAAAAAUAUUCGUUUGGAGGGCUUCCACUUUGAUUUGGCCCCAGGGCCCUUCACGGGUUGUGUUUAACUUUACAUAUACGAUUCAUAUAACUUUUCACAUGUCCCAAAAAAAAUAUUGAUGUGUGGGCCCCACCUCAGCUUACAAAUAAUUCGACGUUCGAAAAUGCAGGAUAUAACACAAAUAAUAACAUAAAUCAAAGCACAAGAAAUUAUAAUGCGCUAAUGCGCCUACUAAUAAGGUAAGAUAACGAGACUUAUAUACUAGCCUUCUACCCUAAUGUGGGUCCUCCACACCUUCCUAUCUAAGGUCAUGUCCUCGGUAAGCUGUAACUGCGUCAUGUCCUGUCUAAUCACCUCUCCCCAAUAUUUCUUUGGCCUACCCCUACCUCUUCUGAAACCAUCCAUGGCUAACCUCUCACACCUCCGCACUGGGGCAUCUAUGUCUCUCCUCUUCACAUGCCCAAACCAUCUCAGUCGCAUUUCCCGCAUCUUGUCUUCCACCGAGGCCACUCCCACCUUAUCCCGAAUAGCCUCAUUUCUAAUCCUGUCGCUCCUAGUGUGCCCACACAUCCAUCUCACCAUUCUCAUCUCGGCAACUUUCAUCUUUUGAACGUGAGAGAUCUUAACUGGCCAACACUCCACCCCAUACAACAUAGCCGGUCUAACCACCACUCUGUUGAGCCCAAGGAGGAUAUCAUCAUGAAAUGGUUGUAAUACGAGGUCCCUAGAGCCUAAGUGUGGAAAACAAGCGAAAAAAAAGGAAAAAAGUUGAUCACUGGAAACAACUGGAGAUUCUGGAAAUUUUGGUGGAAAAUUACCCUGUGCGAAGUCAUGCGUUCGCGCCCACGUGAGUCAGUGACUCUGCGCGUUCGCGCCAGUGUAUCACGCGUUCGCGCUGAAGAAGAGAAUUCCUGCUUACGUCAUCCACGCGUUCGCGCUGCCACGUGGCGCGUUCGCACUGAAGGUUUUCCGGCCCAGUCCGAGCAGAACUUGGAUUUUGACGAUUUUUUCUAUUCCAGUUCAUUUAAAAGCCAACAGGGAGCAUUGUAAAAUUAUCUUGGGCAUAAAACACAAAUUUAGAGGCUAGGGUUCCUACGUAUAUUUUCUUUCUUUUAUUUGAACCUUAUUUAUGGGAAUUUCUUGGUGACAAUUGAGAUUGAAACUCUUGUUGUGCUUAUUUAUUGAUCGACUUUAUUUUUAAUCAA
This is a long non-coding RNA of Lycium barbarum (goji berry), 2292 nucleotides long. RefSeq lists it as uncharacterized. The transcript has 2 exons. The record is from RefSeq and is a predicted model, not a curated record. Lineage: Eukaryota; Viridiplantae; Streptophyta; Magnoliopsida; Solanales; Solanaceae.